CCUACGGGGUGCAGCAGUGGGGAAUAUUGCGCAAUGGGCGAAAGCCUGACGCAGCGACGCCGCGUGAGGGAUGAAGGUCUUCGGAUCGUAAACCUCUGUCAGCAGGGAAGAACGGGCACUGUGCUAAUCAGCAGUGAAUUGACGUUACCUGCAAAGGAAGCACCGGCUAACUCCGUGCCAGCAGCCGCGGUAAUACGGAGGAUGCGAGCGUUAUUCGGAUUUAUUGGGUGUAAAGGGUGCGUAGGCGGAUUUUAAAGUCAGCGGUAAAAUGUCCGGGCUCAACCCGGGCCGGCCGUUGAAACUGGGGAUCUUGAGUGGGGGAGAGGUAUGCGGAAUGCGUGGUGUAGCGGUGAAAUGCAUAGAUAUCACGAAGAACUCCGAUUGCGAAGGCAGCAUACCGGAGCACGACUGACGCUGAGGCACGAAAGCGUGGGGAUCGAACAGGAUUAGAUACCCGGGUAGUC
Molecule: ribosomal RNA, 464 nt
Filed under: uncultured bacterium
Lineage: Bacteria
Description: partial 16S ribosomal RNA
Rfam family: Bacterial small subunit ribosomal RNA
Source: RNAcentral